This 643-nucleotide ribosomal RNA is filed under the name Acephala macrosclerotiorum. RNAcentral describes it as "eukaryotic LSU rRNA". It matches the Rfam family "Eukaryotic large subunit ribosomal RNA", at positions 1 to 667 of the family's 3401-position model. Lineage: Eukaryota; Fungi; Ascomycota; Leotiomycetes; Helotiales; Mollisiaceae. The record is from RNAcentral.
UUGACCUCGGAUCAGGUAGGGAUACCCGCUGAACUUAAGCAUAUCAAUAAGCGGAGGAAAAGAAACCAACAGGGAUUGCCUCAGUAACGGCGAGUGAAGCGGCAACAGCUCAAAUUUGAAAGCUGCCAACAGGCCGCGUUGUAAUUUGUAGAAGCUGCUUUGGGUGUCGGCCCGGUCUAAGUUCCUUGGAACAGGACGUCAUAGAGGGUGAGAAUCCCGUAUGUGAUCGGUGCCGGUGCCCGUGUAAAGCGCUUUCGACGAGUCGAGUUGUUUGGGAAUGCAGCUCAAAAUGGGUGGUAAAUUUCAUCUAAAGCUAAAUAUUGGCCAGAGACCGAUAGCGCACAAGUAGAGUGAUCGAAAGAUGAAAAGCACUUUGGAAAGAGAGUUAAACAGUACGUGAAAUUGUUGAAAGGGAAGCGCUUGCAACCAGACUUGCGGGCGGUCGAUCAUCCGAGGUUCUCCCCGGUGCACUCGAUCGUUCUCAGGCCAGCAUCGGUUUCCGGGGUGGGAUAAAGGCGGUGGGAAUGUGGCUCUUCGGAGUGUUAUAGCCCACCGUGCAAUGCCGCCACUGGGGACCGAGGACCGCGCUUCGGCUAGGAUGCUGGCGUAAUGGUUGUAAGCGACCCGUCUUGAAACACGGACC